AGUGAACGCUGGCGGUAGGCCUAACACAUGCAAGUCGAACGGCAGCACAGUAAGAGCUUGCUCUUACGGGUGGCGAGUGGCGGACGGGUGAGGAAUACAUCGGAAUCUACUUUUUCGUGGGGGAUAACGUAGGGAAACUUACGCUAAUACCGCAUACGACCUACGGGUGAAAGCAGGGGAUCUUCGGACCUUGCGCGAUUGAAUGAGCCGAUGUCGGAUUAGCUAGUUGGCGGGGUAAAGGCCCACCAAGGCGACGAUCCGUAGCUGGUCUGAGAGGAUGAUCAGCCACACUGGAACUGAGACACGGUCCAGACUCCUACGGGAGGCAGCAGUGGGGAAUAUUGGACAAUGGGCGCAAGCCUGAUCCAGCCAUACUGCGUGGGUGAAGAAGGCCUUCGGGUUGUAAAGCCCUUUUGUUGGGAAAGAAAAGCAGCAGGUUAAUACCCCGCUGUUCUGACGGUACCCAAAGAAUAAGCAUCGGCUAACUUCGUG
This 492-nucleotide ribosomal RNA is filed under the name uncultured bacterium. RNAcentral describes it as "partial 16S ribosomal RNA". It matches the Rfam family "Bacterial small subunit ribosomal RNA", at positions 29 to 507 of the family's 1533-position model. The record is from RNAcentral.